GACGAACGCUGGCGGCGUGCUCAACACAUGCAAGUCGAACGAUGAACCCGGAGCUUGCUCUGGGGGAUUAGUGGCGAACGGGUGAGUAACACGUGAGUAACCUGCCCUGGACUCUGGGAUAAGCGUUGGAAACGACGUCUAAUACCGGAUAGGGCCUUGGAUCGCAUGAUCUGGGGUGGAAAGUUUUUUCGGUCUGGGAUGGACUCGCGGCCUAUCAGCUUGUUGGUGAGGUAAUGGCUCACCAAGGCGUCGACGGGUAGCCGGCCUGAGAGGGUGACCGGCCACACUGGGACUGAGACACGGACCAGACUCCUACGGGAGGCAGCAGUGGGGAAUAUUGCACAAUGGGCGAAAGCCUGAUGCAGCAACGCCGCGUGCGGGAUGACGGCCUUCGGGUUGUAAACCGCUUUUAGUAGGGAAGAAGGGCUUCGGCUUGACGGUACCUGCAGAAAAAGGACCGGCUAACUACGUG
Molecule: ribosomal RNA, 472 nt
Filed under: uncultured bacterium
Lineage: Bacteria
Description: partial 16S ribosomal RNA
Rfam family: Bacterial small subunit ribosomal RNA
Source: RNAcentral